Molecule: long non-coding RNA, 790 nt
Organism: Nyctereutes procyonoides (raccoon dog)
Lineage: Eukaryota; Metazoa; Chordata; Mammalia; Carnivora; Canidae
Exons: 3
Source: RefSeq, a predicted model, not a curated record
AGGCCUCGCGCUUGUUCUCAGACUGCGCGAGAUUCCUCAGACCGCAGGGCCCUCGGGUCGGCUUUGUGACCGUUGUCUCGUGUGACCCUGGAGAAGUCCCUCUGUCUCUGAGCUUUUCUUUUCUUCUAUAACACCUCCUCGUCGUGUGCAGAGGGGGCGCUGGGGAAAGACCCUCCCCCCCAUAUGCCACUCCAGCGCGCCUCACCCCUACCCGUUUAGGGGACUGGGGACCUGUAAAGCUCGGCUUACAAAUGAGGAAGCCAGUUAGGAUUGACGUGACUUGCCCCCUGUCACACACAGGUUCGCAGCAGCAUUUGGUCCAAAUCCAGCUUGUGUUUCAUUGUGCCCUGCCUCAUCUUUUCUCAGUAUUUCAAAAUAUGACAACUCAUUCCUGCUUCUCACAGGCUGAUAAAGUGAAAUGGGGCGAGGUGACAUCGAACUACGAAUCAGAUCUCCUGACUUGGAACCGUAUCUCAGGCAGAGUGGGAAGAAUGAGAAGCAGAGACACAGGCAGAGGCAGAAGCGGGCUCCCGUAGGACUCAAUCCCAGGUCUCCAGGAUCACACUCUGAGCGGAAGGCAGCCCUAAACCACUGAGCCACCCUGGCUGCCCUGAAGUAAAUCUUUGUAAAAGUUUUCCAAGACUCAACCAACACGUAUUGGUAAAGAACACAUCAUUAAAUUUAUUGUUUUCUAUUUCUUUCAGCAAUUUCAUAAACUGUCAGUCAUUAAUAUUUGCAUGCACUGUAAUUCCUAUCCAUUCCUCUAAAUAAAAGGACAUGUAUUUUUUUU